This is a long non-coding RNA of Gallus gallus (chicken), 968 nucleotides long. RefSeq lists it as uncharacterized. Lineage: Eukaryota; Metazoa; Chordata; Aves; Galliformes; Phasianidae. The record is from RefSeq and is a predicted model, not a curated record. The transcript has 3 exons.
GCCCUUCCGCGAGCCCAGGACACGGGUAAGAUCUUUAUUUCAUUACUCCUUUGUAACGCGGUAAUCUCUCUGGUCCAAUACCUGUAUACCUGUUUGCCAUACAGCUCUGAUUCUUGGAAAAGGGUAAGUGAUCCCUCUUUCGUGACCUGAAGAUCAUGUCUCCUGACCUUGUUUUGUGUUCAGCAGGUGGUGGUGGAGAGCUGUGACCCGUUCGAGCCUAGUGAGGAUGUUCACGGACACAGCAGGAACCCACACCCACAGGAGUCCCCCGUUCUGAUGGGAUCUCCGUGCCUUCUGUUGAUCCCAGCGUACUUUGGUUUGUUCUUCUAUUUUCAGGUUCUGUUCCAUUGCAUGCUUUUCUGCUGUGUUUUUCUUCCUUCCUUUUGUUUUACAGGCUGGAAAUGUACGCCUGAUUGGUUCUAUGGUGACCCAAAUGCCAUGUAGGAAGGUUUGGCCAAGUGUGGUGGGAAAGGAAGAGGACUGGGGACGCCAGCACCAGAUGCCGUUGCACUUCCUGACCUCCCUGGGUGGCAGCGUUGGAAGUGCCUGGACCCUUGGAAAGGGCUAAGUGAUUCCUUCAUCAUUACCAGAAUGUAGUUUGUGUUCAAGAGGAGACGGUGGAGAACUGUGGCCUUUUGAUCAGUGCAAAGCGUCUACUGAGGCUCUAGGUGGAGAGAACGGGAACGCAGAGCCAUAGGCGGAUGCCAAGAUCCACUCCUUCCUCUGCCUGGCAAGCUAUGUUGAUCCCUGAGGUUGUUUCCAUGCUUGCAGGUGUCCUAUGCGCUUGGUGUCGGUUGUUCCUUGCGCUCACUUGGCUUUCACCGAGUGUUGUUGCCUUACAACAUUUUUCCCACCCUCUAUUUCCAAGCAGGAGCUCCCCUUGGCCUCCAUGUCUCGCUCUGGCCAGGCAGAUGUGGUGUGCCAACGGUACGCAGAGUCCAGACCCUGAGCAGAAGAGCAACUGAGGA